Non-coding RNA from Chiloscyllium plagiosum (whitespotted bambooshark), 795 nucleotides. NCBI's taxonomy places the organism in Eukaryota, Metazoa, Chordata, Chondrichthyes, Orectolobiformes, Hemiscylliidae. The record is from RefSeq and is a predicted model, not a curated record.
GCAAGCUUGACAUUAAGAAUGCCUGCCGUGAAAAUCAGGAUGUCUACUUGCUGCUGGCUGUGAGGAGCCUUCAUGUUGCUCAGCAGCAGCCAGGGCAAGAUCUACAAGCACCAUCAGGGUGUCCUGGAAGUCUGGAGCCAGAACCUCACCCCUGAAUGGACGUACACUUCAUAACCUCCAAUGACCUUGGAUAGUAGAAGUAAAACUCAUCAUGUUGCUCCCAUCACAUUGAACAUUCGCAGUGCAGACUUUGAGGGACAUCCUACCAAUAUCCAAGUAGAGUGAACAAUGAACCUGCUGGGAGGAUUUGCUUCCAGAUGCCAUAUCCACAGCUCCUUGGAUUGAUGGAACAUGUUCUGAAGAGGGCCUCUGUGAACCCAGCACAGAGAGAGUAGGCCCGGCGUGGGCCUCACGCAUUCAUAAAACUGAAGCCAAUCGGGGCAGCAGCAUGGCAGUGGCUAGAGCCCAAAUGGCGACAGCAAUGGUCAGCAACGAUGUAGCGGUUGGGGCUGAAGCCUCACGAGCGGCUGGGAAGCCUGGUGUGCCUAGGCAAGCUUCAGCACCAUGCAGGGGAGAGUGAGUUUUCUUGGAGCAUCUGCAGGUCCAUGCCUCAAGAAAGAACUGUAGUGUUUGACAUUUUAAGUUUUAUUACUUUACUUAUUUACUUUUAUGCUAAGAAGACUGUAGCGCUGAACGUUUUAACUUAUUUCAUUUUUCCAUUUCUGUAACUAAAGUUUUGUACCUAAGAUGGCAGCGUGCAUGGUGAUUUUGAACACUUUUCACUGUACACCUGUA